Rattus norvegicus (Norway rat) is the source of this 125-nucleotide small nucleolar RNA. Ensembl annotates it as small nucleolar RNA SNORA40. Lineage: Eukaryota; Metazoa; Chordata; Mammalia; Rodentia; Muridae. The record is from Ensembl.
AGAAUUUAUGUGUGGUUUGGUUCGAUGAAGGCAAAGGCAGGGAAGAUAGAUGAGAAACUGAUCCUCUUUCACAACCAAGAACUCAUUGUUCAGUGUGAGUUUUGAUAUAUAGAAGGGGGGGGAAU